This 497-nucleotide ribosomal RNA is filed under the name uncultured bacterium. RNAcentral's name for it is "partial 16S ribosomal RNA". It matches the Rfam family "Bacterial small subunit ribosomal RNA", at positions 28 to 507 of the family's 1533-position model. The record is from RNAcentral.
GAUGAACGCUGGCGGCGUGCCUAAUACAUGCAAGUCGAACGAACAGAUGAGGAGCUUGCUCCUCUGACGUUAGCGGCGGACGGGUGAGUAACACGUGGAUAACCUACUUAUAAGACUGGGAUAACUUCGGGAAACCGGAUCUAAUACCGGAUAAUAUAUUGAACCGCAUGGUUCAAUAGUGAAAGACGGUUUUGCUGUCACUUAUAGAUGGAUCCGCGCCGCAUUGGCUAGUUGGUAAGGUAACGGCUUACCAAGGCAACGAUGCGUAGCCGACCUGAGAGGGUGAUCGGCCACACUGGAACUGAGACAGCGUCCAGACUCCUACGGGAGGCAGCAGUAGGGAAUCGUCCGCAAAGGGCGAAAGCCUGACGGAGCAACGCCGAGUGAGUGAUGAAGGUCUUCGGAUCGUAAAGCUCUGUUAUUAGGGAAGAACAAAUGUGUAAGUAACUAUGCACGUCUUGACGGUACCUAAUCAGAAAGCCACGGCUAACUACGUG